This 730-nucleotide long non-coding RNA is filed under the name Dromaius novaehollandiae (emu). RNAcentral describes it as "lncRNA (ENSDNVG00000015043.1)". The record is from RNAcentral. Lineage: Eukaryota; Metazoa; Chordata; Aves; Casuariiformes; Dromaiidae.
CCUAACAAUUUGCUUUUCAUUUUAACAUCUUUCUCUCUUUCCAGGCUGCUCCGUGGAAGAACUCACACAAGGGCGUGCUGCAGUGACACUGGAAACUUCUGGCAAAUAUGGAAAGGAAACAGCAAAACAAUAACAUUCUAAUCCUCUGCAAAUAUAAUCACCUAAGAGGCCACUGGAGAGAAGAGGAACAAACACAUGCAAAUAUGGCCUUGCAUAUGACUUAGCUCCUGAAAGGACACAAUUCUAAUUCACCCACUGUGAAAAAAAGGACUCCUCUAAGAAAAAAGUGUUCUCAAAAGACGAAAUAAGCUGCAACUUUCCAGCUUUGUUCUGGGACCCUCUCCAAGCAGUACAAGAGGAGGACAGUGCGGAAGUCCACCUUACAGCCUACAGAUUAGCAAUGAUGCUCCACCUGACAGCUUCUUGUUUUGUAUGGACUUCACCUUGCACAGUGUUCAGGACUGCACARUGAUUUUAGUGUGCCUGGGAUCAGUCUGCGGAAGCCUACAUUAUCAACCACCAGAGACCUUGAAGAACAGGAACAUUUAAUCCACACACAAAUAUAUGAACAAGAACCUUUUAGGAACUGUUUCUAAAACUCUUUAAAUUACUCACAAUGARUGAAAAGUAAAAUAUUUCAUUUCAUUUGUUUGUUGCUAAUUAAUUUUUUCACUUCUUUCAUCUUCAUAUUAGACAGUGAAGCUAAGACACUCAAUUCCACUUCUGUUUC